AUUGAACGCUGGCGGCAGGCCUAACACAUGCAAGUCGAACGCGUGGCGGACGGGUGAGAAAUGUCUGGGAAACUGCCUGGUGGAGGGGGAAAACUACUGGAAACGGUCUCUAAUACCGCAUCCCAUCAGAUGUGCACAGAUGGGAUUCGCUAGUUGGUGGGGUAACGGCUCACGAAGGCGACGAUCCCUAGCUGGUCUGAGAGGAUGACCAGCCACACUGGAACUGAGACACGGUCCAGACUCCUACGGGAGGCAGCAGUGGGGAAUAUUGCACAAUGGGCGCAAGCCUGAUGCAGCCAUGCCGCGUGUAUGAAGAAGGCCUUCGGGUUGUAAAGUACUUUCAGCGGGGAGGCGUUACCCGCAGAAGAAGCACCGGCUAACUCCGUGCCAGCAGCCGCGGUAAUUC
This 406-nucleotide ribosomal RNA is filed under the name uncultured bacterium. RNAcentral's name for it is "partial 16S ribosomal RNA". It matches the Rfam family "Bacterial small subunit ribosomal RNA", at positions 30 to 526 of the family's 1533-position model. The record is from RNAcentral.